Molecule: ribosomal RNA, 1291 nt
Filed under: Escherichia coli
Lineage: Bacteria; Pseudomonadati; Pseudomonadota; Gammaproteobacteria; Enterobacterales; Enterobacteriaceae
Description: partial 23S ribosomal RNA
Rfam family: Bacterial large subunit ribosomal RNA
Source: RNAcentral
GGCACUACGGUGCUGAAGCAACAAAUGCCCUGCUUCCAGGAAAAGCCUCUAAGCAUCAGGUAACAUCAAAUCGUACCCCAAACCGACACAGGUGGUCAGGUAGAGAAUACCAAGGCGCUUGAGAGAACUCGGGUGAAGGAACUAGGCAAAAUGGUGCCGUAACUUCGGGAGAAGGCACGCUGAUAUGUAGGUGAAGCGACUUGCUCGUGGAGCUGAAAUCAGUCGAAGAUACCAGCUGGCUGCAACUGUUUAUUAAAAACACAGCACUGUGCAAACACGAAAGUGGACGUAUACGGUGUGACGCCUGCCCGGUGCCGGAAGGUUAAUUGAUGGGGUUAGCGGUAACGCGAAGCUCUUGAUCGAAGCCCCGGUAAACGGCGGCCGUAACUAUAACGGUCCUAAGGUAGCGAAAUUCCUUGUCGGGUAAGUUCCGACCUGCACGAAUGGCGUAAUGAUGGCCAGGCUGUCUCCACCCGAGACUCAGUGAAAUUGAACUCGCUGUGAAGAUGCAGUGUACCCGCGGCAAGACGGAAAGACCCCGUGAACCUUUACUAUAGCUUGACACUGAACAUUGAGCCUUGAUGUGUAGGAUAGGUGGGAGGCUUUGAAGUGUGGACGCCAGUCUGCAUGGAGCCGACCUUGAAAUACCACCCUUUAAUGUUUGAUGUUCUAACGUUGGCCCGUUAUCCGGGUUGCGGACAGUGUCUGGUGGGUAGUUUGACUGGGGCGGUCUCCUCCUAAAGAGUAACGGAGGAGCACGAAGGUUGGCUAAUCCUGGUCGGACAUCAGGAGGUUAGUGCAAUGGCAUAAGCCAGCUUGACUGCGAGCGUGACGGCGCGAGCAGGUGCGAAAGCAGGUCAUAGUGAUCCGGUGGUUCUGAAUGGAAGGGCCAUCGCUCAACGGAUAAAAGGUACUCCGGGGAUAACAGGCUGAUACCGCCCAAGAGUUCAUAUCGACGGCGGUGUUUGGCACCUCGAUGUCGGCUCAUCACAUCCUGGGGCUGAAGUAGGUCCCAAGGGUAUGGCUGUUCGCCAUUUAAAGUGGUACGCGAGCUGGGUUUAGAACGUCGUGAGACAGUUCGGUCCCUAUCUGCCGUGGGCGCUGGAGAACUGAGGGGGGCUGCUCCUAGUACGAGAGGACCGGAGUGGACGCAUCACUGGUGUUCGGGUUGUCAUGCCAAUGGCACUGCCCGGUAGCUAAAUGCGGAAGAGAUAAGUGCUGAAAGCAUCUAAGCACGAAACUUGCCCCGAGAUGAGUUCUCCCUGACUCCUUGAGAGUCCUGAAGGAACGU